Molecule: long non-coding RNA, 3079 nt
Organism: Scylla paramamosain (green mud crab)
Lineage: Eukaryota; Metazoa; Arthropoda; Malacostraca; Decapoda; Portunidae
Exons: 2
Source: RefSeq, a predicted model, not a curated record
AUAUAUAUAUAUAUAUAUAUAUAUAUAUAUAUAUAUAUAUAUAUAUAUGGGGCUCGGGAGUAUCACGUGACGUGUAGCAGCCCUGGGAUUGGUGGCGGAACAGUUUGGGAGACAGUGGCGGGAAAACACUGGUGAGGGAAGAAAGCCCGCACGUCGCCGACACUGCCUCCUGUACUUGUAUGUGCCUUUGUGAGCUGGAGCGAGGCGUCAAGAAGCCUUCUGAGGGUCGACAAGAGGCCUGGGGUGCCGAGCUAUAGCAUAGGACUACUGUGUAGUGUGAGCAACAGAGAAUAGAGGGCCAGAAGCCGACAAGUGUGUUUUACUAUUCGCCUUCUGAGGGGAGCCAGGGGAGAACACGGAGCGCCGCAGGGUAAGUUCACCGUCACGUAUGCAGGAAGCACCGGACCCUAAAAGUGUAAGUGUGACGGCCCACGGGGUGGUGAAGUUACAAUAUAUAAUACAGUUUCUCUUGUCUCACCGAUUUGCUUUUUUUUUACACACUAGACUGCGACGGGUCCUGAAAAUGAACACGCCAGCUGUGCACUUACUCUGCAUAGCAUAUUAAUUUCACUGAUUGAUAACCAGCGGCAACGUCACUAAGGUCAUAUCUGGGCUCUAUAUAUUAAGGGACAGGUUGAAUGUCAGUUUUUUCAAUCCACAGUUUAUUUAUUCCUUAUUUUCUACCGACAUCGCACCAGAAAAGUCGGGAAUCGACUUCCAAGAUAACUGGUACGCAUAAUUGCCUCGCAUGCUGCUGCUGCUGUUGUUGUUGUUGUUGUUGUUGCGUCGGUUUUUUUACUUUCAAUUUUCUAUCGGCAUCGCCACCAGAAAAGUCGCAAAUGAAAUAUAUCUGAGAGAGAGUUAAUACGCAUGCUGCUGCUGCUGCUGCUCUUGUUGUUGCGUCACUGGGAAGAGUUCAGCGAAUAUUAAAAAAGUUUUCUUGGUUUAGUUUUCACUCACUUCAACAACUUUCUGCUCACUUUCCCCCUGUUCACCCUUUUCUCUGACAAUCUCGCCCUCACGCACUCCUGCUUCUUCCAUUUUGGCUAUCCAUUGAUUUACGGCGCAGUCUUCUCAGUAAAGGUGAUGAACGGAAGGCGAUACUGGUCAGCUUAUGCGAGGCGUGGGGCGAAAAAAAAAAAAAAGCUAAACAUGCACCCAAAGAUGUUAGGGAAGAUUGGCGUGGGAGUUUUGUUGGUAUGCCGAAGGGGAGUGGGUCUGUGGAUGAGAGAGAGAGAGAGAGAGAGAGAGAGAGAGAGAGAGAGAGAGAGAGAGAGAGAGAGAGGGUUGGUAGAGAGAGCCAAUCAAAUAUUUAUGCAAAACAUUUAAUGCUCAGUUCAUUCAAGGAGAUUCGUGGGAACUAUUUUUUUUUUUUUUUUUUUUUUUUUUUAGUGAAGAUGUUUUUGUAAUCACCUAUUUUGUCUUUGGAAGAAUUCUAUCUACUGGAAAAAAUUUACUUAAGCCUUUAUAUUAUUUCCUCUUAUGUACGCGUUGUUCGAUUGAAAUCAUAACAGUAUUUGAUCGGUUUUUUUCUACGGCCCAAAAUACAGUAAAAAAAAAAAAAAAAAAAAACGUUCAAGAUUUUAUUUUAUUUGCAUUUUAACAUGACUGGUGUAGCUGUCGGGGGAUGGAGAGGCUUAGGAAGGGAGGCAUACCUGAUACAUGGGUACAAAAAACGUGUGAAUUUAUAAGAAUACACUUUUCUUGGAGCAGUAAAUUCUUGUGGGGAAUGUCUGGAAGCGCCUGGGUACAACACUUAUCUCCCUAACACAGUGCUCCCGUCCCUGCGCAAGGCUUUUUCUGUAGUCACAAGUUCGGCUCUGUUGAUUCGAACGAUGCACAAGUAGAGAGAGUGAGAGAGUGAAGCAGCAAGGAUUCGUGGUGUCCUGUGUGGAGACUACCUUGCUUCUUUAUACUAUUAACGUGUCUCAGAGUCUAACCUAUUCAAAUAUUCCCCUUACACGUUCGCGGACUCCGUUGGGAAUGCGUGUUUAGUAAGCUGACAGGAUUACAAUGAAGAAUAAAGGUGUCACUGCAUUUACUGAUGCGAUGGUGGCUGAGUAAUGUACCAGACUCGCAGUAACCUGACUGUUUCAUGAAAUUCAAAGUCAGGAAGGCGUUUAGCAGCAGAAUUUUAGUAGGAUGUUGUGAAAAAUAGAUUUGUGAAGACUAUACUCGCACUAUAACUAGAUAAACAACAGUGAGUGAUGAUAGAUGGACGCUUAAAAAGUGAUAAUGAAGUAGGCAGAUAAUGGAGGAACAGCUGGGGGUAUCAGAUCAGGGGAUAGGAUGAGGCUGUGCUUGUCUCACUGGUCGCCAGUCACGCGUUCGAACUGGGUACUUAUAUUCGAAAGGGAUCAAAAGCUUUACACCAUCUUAGAAUCGUUUUGAUCACGCAGAUGCAUGUUGGUGUAGACAUAAUUUUACUUGAUGUAGAGAGAGAGAGAGAGAGAGAGAGAGAGAGAGAGAGAGAGAGAGAGAGAGAGAGAGAGAGAGAGAGAAUCGUUUUGAUCACGCAGAUGCAUAUUGGUGUAGACAUAAUUUUACUUGAUGUAGAGAGAGAGAGAGAGAGAGAGAGAGAGAGAGAGAGAGAGAGAGAGAGAGAGAGAGUCACGGAGGUGUUUGUCAGAUUCAUAGAUAUGGAUUCAGAGAUUCUGAGCUCAAGACUUUCCUAGCAUCUGUCUGACGUCGGGUUGAAAGAGUGUGUGCGUGGCGACGCGGUUGCGGGUACACGUGUUAGUGUGUGGUUUGACUUCCUUCCUUCUCAACUCGUCUCAUCGAUGAAGAUAUGCAGAGACUUGUCCUGACAGGUGAAGGCAGCAGUGGUGACCGUGGCUGCAGCUGUAGUAACUCGAGAAGUAAGGAAGGUUACCCAGCUCACUACAUUGACCUGCAUCUUGCUCACCCGAUGGAGGCUGGGUGUUCCACCACUAUGGGAACUGCCAGCCCGGUAGUCAUUCUCUACUACCAAAAGGGGUGGAGGAAUGUCCAUAGAUGUCUCUCCAGGGAUCUACAAAAUGACUCUUUGUAAACAAUGACAUACACACUGGAAUGUAUAUAGAUUAAAAAUUGAAAUACU